UACGUUCCCGGGCCUUGUACACACCGCCCGUCACACCACGAAAGUCGGCAAUACCCGAAGCCGGUGUCCUAACCGUAAGGAGGGAGCCGUCGAAGGUAGGGUCGAUGAUUGGGGUG
RNAcentral lists this ribosomal RNA (116 nucleotides) under uncultured bacterium. RNAcentral describes it as "partial 16S ribosomal RNA". It matches the Rfam family "Bacterial small subunit ribosomal RNA", at positions 1367 to 1482 of the family's 1533-position model. The record is from RNAcentral.